AGUCGAGGGGCAGCAUGAACUGUAGCAAUACAGUUUGAUGGCGACCGGCAAACGGGUGCGGAACACGUACACAACCUUCCUUCAACUGGAGAAUAGCCUCUCGAAAGAGAGAUUAAUACUCCGUAACAUAAUGAAGUGGCAUCACUUUAUUAUUAUAGAUACGUCGGUUGAAGAUGGGUGUGCGGCUGAUUAGGUAGUUGGUGAGGUAACGGCUCACCAAGCCAACGAUCAGUAGCUGAUGUGAGAGCAUGAUCAGCCACACGGGCACUGAGACACGGGCCCGACUCCUACGGGAGGCAGCAGCAAGGAAUAUUGGUCAAUGGACGCAAGUCUGAACCAGCCAUGCCGCGUGAAGGAUGAAGGCCCUCUGGGUUGUAAACUUCUUUUAUCUGGGACGAAAUCCCCCUUUCUAGGGGAGUUGACGGUACCAGAGGAAUAAGCACCGGCUAACUCCGUGCCAGCAGCCGCGGUAAUACGGAGGGUGCAAGCGUUAUCCGGAUUCACUGGGUUUAAAGGGUGCGUAGGCGGGAAGAUAAGUCAGUGGUGAAAGCUUUCAGCUUAACUGAAAAAUUGCCAUUGAUACUGUCUUUCUUGAAUAUAGUUGAGGUUGGCGGAAUGUGUCAUGUAGCGGUGAAAUGCUUAGAUAUGACACAGAACACCGAUUGCGAAGGCAGCUGGCUAAACUAUUAUUGACGCUGAGGCACGAAAGCGUGGGGAUCAAACAGGAUUAGAUACCCUGNUAGUCCACGCCCUAAACUAUGGAUACUCGACAUUAGCGAUACACCGUUAGUGUCUAAGCGAAAGCAUUAAGUAUCCCACCUNNGAAGUACGACCGCANGNUGAAACUCAAAGGGAAUUGACGGGGGUCCGCACAAGUGGNNGAGUAUGUGGUUU
RNAcentral lists this ribosomal RNA (894 nucleotides) under uncultured bacterium. RNAcentral describes it as "bacterial SSU rRNA". It matches the Rfam family "Bacterial small subunit ribosomal RNA", at positions 60 to 947 of the family's 1533-position model. The record is from RNAcentral.